RNAcentral lists this ribosomal RNA (497 nucleotides) under uncultured bacterium. RNAcentral's name for it is "partial 16S ribosomal RNA". It matches the Rfam family "Bacterial small subunit ribosomal RNA", at positions 28 to 507 of the family's 1533-position model. The record is from RNAcentral.
GAUGAACGCUGGCGGCGUGCCUAACACAUGCAAGUCGAACGAACAGACGAGGAUUUUUCGCGUCUGACUGUAUCGGCGGAGGGGAGAUUAACACGGGUCUAACCUACCUAUAAGACUGGGAUAAUUACGGGAAACCGGAUCUAAUACCGGAUGAUAUAUUGAACCGCAUUGUUCACUAGUGAGAUACGGUUUUGCGGUCACUUAUAGCUGGAUCCGCGCCGCAUUAUUUAGUUGGUAAGGUAACGGCUUACCAAGGCAACGAUGCGUAGCCGGCCUCAGAGGGUGGAUGCCGACCUGGGAACGGAGACACGGCCGAGACUCCUACGGGAGGACGCAGUCGAGAAUCAUACGCAAUGGGGGAGAGCCUAACAGAGCAACGCGGCGUCAGGGAUGAAGGUGCUAGGCUCGGAAAGUUAUGUUAUCAGGGAAGAACAAAUGUGUAAUUACCUAUGCAGGUAUUGACGGUACCGAAUCAGAAAGCCCCGGCUAACUACGUG